AUGAACGCUGGCGGCGUGCCUAAUACAUGCAAGUCGAGCGAACGGACGAGAAGCUUGCUUUUCUGAUGUUAGCGGCGGACGGGUGAGUAACACGUGGAUAACCUACCUAUAAGACUGGGAUAACUUCGGGAAACCGGAGCUAAUACCGGAUAAUAUUUUGAACCGCAUGGUUCAAAAGUGAAAGACGGUCUUGCUGUCACUUAUAGAUGGAUCCGCGCUGCAUUAGCUAGUUGGUAAGGUAACGGCUUACCAAGGCAACGAUGCAUAGCCGACCUGAGAGGGUGAUCGGCCACACUGGAACUGAGACACGGUCCAGACUCCUACGGGAGGCAGCAGUAGGGAAUCUUCCGCAAUGGGCGAAAGCCUGACGGAGCAACGCCGCGUGAGUGAUGAAGGUCUUCGGAUCGUAAAACUCUGUUAUUAGGGAAGAACAUAUGUGUAAGUAACUGUGCACAUCUUGACGGUACCUAAUCAGAAAGCCACGGCUAACUACGUA
RNAcentral lists this ribosomal RNA (496 nucleotides) under uncultured bacterium. RNAcentral describes it as "partial 16S ribosomal RNA". It matches the Rfam family "Bacterial small subunit ribosomal RNA", at positions 29 to 507 of the family's 1533-position model. The record is from RNAcentral.